GGAUACUUCUAAUCAUCAAGGAAAGGGUACAAAUCAAACUGCUCUGAUGGCCUGAUUUGCACUUCUUCUACAGUUGACGAUGGUCGUACUUCUCCAUGUUCUGAGACCAGUUUAAACAAAAACAAAAACCAGACAACAACCUUGCAAGGGAAAGAAUUCAGAGUAAAUAAACAGUCUUUUUCUGGGAAGUAAAAUAUUUCCCUAAGAUGGAGAAAUUGAGAUGAGAGCUCAUCCACAAGAUUACCCAUCAAUGAGCACCAAUAGCAACCAAAUCCACUAGAAGACUGGGAGCUUUUAAGUCAAGAAACUUACAUCAGUAUCAUCAUUCCAAGAAGCGGUAUCCAAGCUGUUUUAUCGAAAGUGCGCAUGGGAGAUGGUGCUGUGAGUGGGGAGUGAGUCAAAAACUCCGCUGGGGUGUACAAAAGUCUACUCAAAUGUCCACAGCAUCUGUGGGGGAUGGAGAAUAGUUGGAGGAUCUUUCUCCAGAAUCCUUCUGUUCUGUAGUACAAGUAUUACUCAUUAUAGACUAGCACGAAAAAUCAAGUGAAAUGCGAACUUAAGAGUUUAAAAAGAAUAAAUGGUGCUUUUCUGGCCUAUUAGUAAUAAAUUAAAUAAAAAUAAUUUUAAUUUGUAAGUAAUGAAUGCUAAUCUACAUUGUAUUAAUUGGGCUUAACCAGAGAGUUUUUGUUUACAUACAUUAGGCAAACAAACAAUAGGAAUGAGGAUUUUUAAUAAAG
RNAcentral lists this long non-coding RNA (737 nucleotides) under Homo sapiens (human). RNAcentral describes it as "non-protein coding LINC01197:16". The record is from RNAcentral. Lineage: Eukaryota; Metazoa; Chordata; Mammalia; Primates; Hominidae.